This 254-nucleotide ribosomal RNA is filed under the name uncultured bacterium. Its description in RNAcentral is "partial 16S ribosomal RNA". It matches the Rfam family "Bacterial small subunit ribosomal RNA", at positions 524 to 777 of the family's 1533-position model. The record is from RNAcentral.
UACGUAGGGGGCAAGCGUUGUCCGGAAUCAUUGGGCGUAAAGAGCGUGUAGGCGGCUUGAUAAGUCCGCUGUGAAAGUCCAGGGCUCAACCCUGGAAUGCCGGUGGAAACUGUCAAGCUUGAGUCCGGAAGAGGCGAGUGGAAUUCCUGGUGUAGCGGUGAAAUGCGCAGAUAUCAGGAGGAACACCAAUGGCGAAGGCAGCUCGCUGGGACGGUACUGACGCUGAGACGCGAAAGCGUGGGGAGCAAACAGGG